CUGCCCCAGAAAGAACAAGAGAGGACACUGGAGAGCCUCUUGGUCCUAGAGUGCUGGCUAUGUACAGAGAUAGAAGGGAAGUGUGGAUGCAGGGACCCAAUGCUCUGUGCUCCUAUGCCCCCCAGUGGGCCAAUAUCCAAAGACCUUGAGUGCAAGGGGCUACUGGCAACAAACAAUACUUAUGGACUGCCCGAAGAACAGUGGACCUUGGCGUGGGCCGGGUAACCCACUAGUUCAUAGUCAUCCCUGACUGCCCCUAUCCCUUGCUCAUGAGAAAAUUGCUCUCCAAAAUGGCUUGCGUGGGCUGAAAUGGCUGGGUGAGGCCAUGUGUAUGCAUAUCUACAGACUGUGUAUGUGGAGCUUAAGACCUGUCUCAGUGCACCAGUACCUGAUGCUGGGAGAUGUGUGACUUAGUCCUGAUCUGCCUGGAACACAUCACUCCUGCCAACCGGGCACUAACAAUUAUCACCCAAUCCAGGACUUAAACUGUGAUAGAGUGGCUGAUGUUCUGCCUUUGAAUAGAGU
RNAcentral lists this long non-coding RNA (525 nucleotides) under Rattus norvegicus (Norway rat). Its description in RNAcentral is "long non-coding RNA NONRATT014393". Lineage: Eukaryota; Metazoa; Chordata; Mammalia; Rodentia; Muridae. The record is from RNAcentral.